GAAAUGCGAUAAGUAAUGUGAAUUGCAGAAUUCAGUGAAUCAUCGAAUCUUUGAACGCACCUUGCGCCCUCUGGCAUUCCGGGGGGCAUGCCUGUCCGAGCGUCAUUACGCACCCUCAAGCCCGGCUUGUGUGAUGGGCCCCGGCGUCUCGUUCGCGAGACGGGCCCGAAAGGCAGCGGCGGCGUCGACCCGAUGAGCCCGAGCGUAUGGGGACUUCUGUCACACGUUCGCGGUGCGGACCGGCGCCUGCUUGACUUUUCUGAUUAUCCAGGUUGACCUCGGAUCAGGUAGGGAUACCCGCUGAACUUAAGC
RNAcentral lists this unclassified non-coding RNA (312 nucleotides) under plant metagenome. Its description in RNAcentral is "partial contains 5.8S ribosomal RNA, internal transcribed spacer 2, and large subunit ribosomal RNA". The stretch from base 1 to 105 matches the Rfam family "5.8S ribosomal RNA", at positions 50 to 154 of the family's 154-position model. The record is from RNAcentral.